This 497-nucleotide ribosomal RNA is filed under the name uncultured bacterium. RNAcentral's name for it is "partial 16S ribosomal RNA". It matches the Rfam family "Bacterial small subunit ribosomal RNA", at positions 28 to 507 of the family's 1533-position model. The record is from RNAcentral.
GAUGAACGCUGGCGGUGUGCCUAAUACAUGCAAGUCGAGCGAACAGACGAGGAGCUUACUCCUCUGACGUUAGCGGCGGACGGGUGAGUAACACGUGGAUAACCUACCUAUAAGACUGGGAUAACUUCGGGAAACCGGAGCUAAUACCGGAUAACAUGUUGAACCGCAUGGUUCAACAGUGAAAGACGGUCUUGCUGUCACUUAUAGAUGGAUCCGCGUCGCAUUAGCUAGUUGGUAAGGUAACGGCUUACCAAGGCAACGAUGCGUAGCCGACCUGAGAGGGUGAUCGGCCACACUGGAACUGGGGCACGGUCCAGACUCCUACGGGAGGCAGCAGUAGGAAAUCUUCCGCAAUGGGCGAAAGCCUGACGGAGCAACGCCGCGUGAGUGAAGAAGGUCUUCGGAUCGUAAAACUCUGUUAUUAGGGAAGAACAAAUGUGUAAGUAACUAUGCACGUCUUGACGGUACCUAAUCAGAAAGCCACGGCUAACUACGUG